RNAcentral lists this ribosomal RNA (501 nucleotides) under uncultured bacterium. RNAcentral's name for it is "partial 16S ribosomal RNA". It matches the Rfam family "Bacterial small subunit ribosomal RNA", at positions 30 to 523 of the family's 1533-position model. The record is from RNAcentral.
AUUGAACGCUGGCGGCAGGCUUAACACAUGCAAGUCGAGCGGGGGAAGGUAGCUUGCUACCGGACCUAGCGGCGGACGGGUGAGUAAUGCUUAGGAAUCUGCCUAUUAGUGGGGGACAACAUCUCGAAAGGGAUGCUAAUACCGCCUACGUCCUACGGGAGAAAGCAGGGGAUCUUCGGACGUUGCGCUAAUAGAUGAGCCUAAGUCGGAUUAGCUAGUUGGUGGGGUAAAGGCCUACCAAGGGGACGAUCUGUAGCGGGUCUGAGGGGAUGAUCCGCAACACUGGGACUGAGACACGGCCCAGACUCCUACGGGAGGCAGCAGUGGGGAAUAUUGGACAAUGGGGGGAACCCUGAUCCAGCCAUGCCGCGUGUGUGAAGAAGGCCUUAUGGUUGUAAAGCACUUUAAGCGAGGAGGAGGCUACUCUAGUUAAUACCUAGGGAUAGUGGACGUUACUCGCAGAAUAAGCACCGGCUAACUCUGUGCCAGCAGCCGCGGUAA